RNA transcript from Mangifera indica (mango), 1441 nucleotides. RefSeq lists it as uncharacterized. Lineage: Eukaryota; Viridiplantae; Streptophyta; Magnoliopsida; Sapindales; Anacardiaceae. The transcript is spliced from 6 exons. The record is from RefSeq and is a predicted model, not a curated record.
AAGAAAUAACUGCAACGGCGGCGUUUUGUAAGUUCUAACAAUGCUCUUCCAAAUUUCAAACCAUUUACGAGCAGACAGCAAAACCCUAGCAACAUCUCCAAUCAUCGAUUGAAAGCGGGAAAAAAAAAAAAAACCCAAAGGCAAAGCACAGAAUGCGACUUUUAGAGACUCUUUAUCCCACAGAAAUCCUAGAAAUCGAGAACGGCCUCACACUCGUGCCGCGCGUGAAGCUCAUGCUCACAAUCUACCCUACAAGUUCCUCCGUGACAAAAUCCAUAGACGAGUGGCAGCUAAAGCGCGCAUUGGUUGAAUUCCUGAAGACCUCCCUCUCUGUCUCCAUCACCGUCCCCGAAGAGGACCUGGAAAUCAGACGGUUCAAAGACCUCAAGAAACGCAAGCGAGAUGAUCCCGUCGCACACGGCAAUCUCUUCAUUCGCGACCUAGGAUUCCUAAACAAUAACAAUAAAAGGGACGACCGUGGCGUCGAUGAAGAAGAAGAAAUGUUUGUGGAAGUUCUAGAAAAGAAGUUGUCAGACUGGAGAAAAUACAUUGUUGAAAAAAUGGAUGGAAUUGAAUUAAAUUUGGAGGGAGUUAAGUAUAGACUGAGUGUAUCUGUUCCGGUUUCUGAUGAGUUUGAAAAGAUGAAAAAAGAUUGGGAGGAGUUUUAUGCUUUCCGAAAUCGAGGUUAUUCAAGGGGGAGGCUUGAGCCGGACACUAUAGUAAUUAGAGGAGUACCUUCGAGGUGGUUUGCAGAGCCGAGGGUUUCAUCAAAGCCGUCAAUGUUGGUUACACAUACUAUUUUUUCGACAUUUGGGAAGAUAAGGAAUCUUAAUGUUGCUGAGGACGAUGAUCUAGGUAAGGAUGCGGAUGAGGAUGAGGCAAUCAUUGUUUCGGGUCUUCAUUGUAAGAUUGUGGUUCAGUUCGAGAAAUACAGGGACUUCUAUAAUGCUCUUAAGGUUUUAUGCGGUCGGUCACUUCAAAAGCCAAUUAUCUUGUCCCAAAUGGUAGUUGCUUAUAGUCAUCCAUGAUGUGGCUGGGAAAAUGCCAAAUUAUUGAACAAGGGUCAAAAUUGAAGGCAGAUUAUGAGGUUUCUUGGGACAAGGAUGGCUUUUUCCGGAGCUCAAGAAGUCAUGCAACAGAUAGGAGUAAUAGGAUGCCGGCAAAGGCUGCUAGACAAUACAGAAGUGAAGAUGCUAGACAUGAUAUUUCUCAGUUUGAUGAUACACGCCGGAAGAGGUUCAAGGAAUAGUGGAUUGCGUGCUCUUUCUGGAAACAUUUUUCUUCUGAGGCUUGGCGAGGGAGUUCUUUCUGGUUCAAAAAUCAAAUACUAGUGUGAUGGUCUCGAUAAUGUAUACUUUUAAAUUUGCAAAUUGUCGAUGUAAUUUAUAACACUAUGUUGUGCUAGUAGUUUAUUGAUGGAUUAUAAAGAUUUGACACCACA